This 135-nucleotide non-coding RNA is filed under the name Chromera velia. Lineage: Eukaryota; Chromeraceae. The record is from RNAcentral.
GUGUUCUUCGUCCUUUUUUCCUAUAUUUUUUCUCUCUCAUUCUUUCCGGAGUUUUUCGUACAAUCGCCCAGGAGGGCGACGGAAUGCGCGGAGGAGUAGCGCAAAUGUUAGAGCGGAAGAAAAGAAAAGAAGAGA